GAUGAACGCUGGCGGCGUGUCUAAUACAUGCAAGUCGAACGAAUCUUCUUCGGAAGAUGAGUGGCGAACGGGUGAGUAAAACAUAGGUAACCUGCCCCUGUGCGGGGGAUAACAGGAGGAAACUCCUGCUAAUACCGCAUAGCCAUGAGCACCGCAUGGAGCUCAUGCCAAAUAUCCUUUCGGGGAUAGCGCAGGGAUGGACCUAUGGCGCAUUAGCUGGUUGGCGGGGCAACGGCCCACCAAGGCAACGAUGCGUAGCCGGCCUGAGAGGGGGGACGGCCAAAUUAGGACUGAGACACGGACCAGGCUCCUACGGGAGGCAGCAGUAGGGAAUUUUCGGAAAUGUGGGAAACCCUGACCGCGAAACGCCGCGUGAGCGAAGAAGGCCUUCGGGUCGUAAAGCUCUGUUGUAAAGGAAGAACGGCGCAUACAGGAAAUGGUAUGCGAGUGACGGUACUUUACCAGAAAGCCACGGCUAACUACGUGCCAGCCGCCGCAGUAA
RNAcentral lists this ribosomal RNA (502 nucleotides) under uncultured bacterium. Its description in RNAcentral is "partial 16S ribosomal RNA". It matches the Rfam family "Bacterial small subunit ribosomal RNA", at positions 28 to 523 of the family's 1533-position model. The record is from RNAcentral.